GCCUGCUUCAGUAGUGCACAUACUAAAAUUGAAACAAUACAGAGAUUACCAUGGCCCCAGUGUAAAGACACUCAAAUUUGCAAAGCGUUCUUUUUUUGU
Molecule: small nuclear RNA, 99 nt
Filed under: Tupaia belangeri chinensis (Chinese tree shrew)
Lineage: Eukaryota; Metazoa; Chordata; Mammalia; Scandentia; Tupaiidae
Source: RNAcentral